RNAcentral lists this long non-coding RNA (499 nucleotides) under Bos taurus (domestic cattle). RNAcentral's name for it is "long non-coding RNA NONBTAT026835". The record is from RNAcentral. Lineage: Eukaryota; Metazoa; Chordata; Mammalia; Artiodactyla; Bovidae.
AAAUACUUACAGGUGUCUUGAAUAGCUUACAGAGAAGUCAGAACAAUGUGCCAGACUGUAUUUCUGAAGCCUUGGGAAUAGAUUUGAUUAUGUUUGAGUUUUACAGUAUAUACAUUUUCUAUAAAACAUAAAAAAAAUUUUGUCACAAAUUUGACACAAAAAGCAUUGUCGUGCUUCUAGAAGAACUAUACUCUUUGAGGCAUUGAGAUUCCUCAGCCCUAGGACUUCCAAAAUCAGUUUUAGGUCAAGUUAUUAAUACAAACUUUUUUCUUAACGUCUUCAUUAAUUCAUUUUUUUUUUUAAUGUUAAAGCCCUGAGCAGUGGUAUUUAAAUAUCCUGAGAAACCCCAUUUAUAUAUACAAAUAUGAACAAAUCUAUAGAGGAUUUCUACAAUACCAUUCAUAGGUGUGUUUAAAUUAUGCUUAAUACCACAAAUUAGUACUGUUGAAUUUUAAAAUCUAUUACUUUUGUUUUCUUUAAUACUGAGAACUCUAAAGAC